RNAcentral lists this ribosomal RNA (300 nucleotides) under uncultured Spiroplasma sp. RNAcentral describes it as "bacterial SSU rRNA". It matches the Rfam family "Bacterial small subunit ribosomal RNA", at positions 496 to 795 of the family's 1533-position model. The record is from RNAcentral. Lineage: Bacteria; Bacillati; Mycoplasmatota; Mollicutes; Entomoplasmatales; Spiroplasmataceae.
GCUAUGCGUGGGCCAGCGGCCUCGUGAAUACAGAGGGUGCGGGCGUUAAGCGGUUUUACUGGGGGUAAAUGGUGCGUAGGCGGCUGAUUAAGUCGGAUGUGAAAUCCCUGAGCUUAACUUAGGAAUUGCAUUCGAUACUGGUCAGCUAGAGUAUGGGAGAGGAUGGUAGAAUUCCAGGUGUAGCGGUGAAAUGCGUAGAGAUCUGGAGGAAUACCGAUGGCGAAGGCAGCCAUCUGGCCUAAUACUGACGCUGAGGUACGAAAGCAUGGGGAGCAAACAGGAUUAGAUACCCCGGUAGUC